GGCAGUUUGAGUGUUGUGGAAAGAAGAAGGGAGAAAAGCAGUACUCCUGUUUUGCAGCCUCUGCUCCAGAUCCAGAAUAUAGAUCCACUGAUGGAGAGCUCGGCCCUUCUGCUGCUCCUCUAACCCUCGACAUAUUAUGCCUUACACAUACGGCUAUCCAGAGCAUGUGAGACCCUCUUCAUUUAAAAUUGCAUGUUUAACAAAUAAACUCACAAGUAAGAAUGUUUUGUUUUUUUGCCAAAGCAUUUAUUUGAUCAAAAAUACAGUAAAACUACUUUAAAUGUGUUCUGUUUUAAUGUAAUAUGUAUGUGCAUGAGCCAUUGGAGAAACUCAUGUGUCUCAAAAUGUGUUUCAUACUGUGAGAAUAUUCAGAUUUUAGGUUCUGUUGAGUAACAUUGUUCUCUUAAAAUGUUUCCAUGCUGCUGUUUUUGUGCUUUUAUUAUCUAUGUUUCGGUUUAUCUAUUUCCCUUCAGACAACACUGACCAUGAACGCUAGUCAAAACAAGGAUAGUUUAAAAACUAAUCUCGUUGUGUUUAACCUUGUGCAUGGCAAAACAUUGUCAAGGACAAUGAAAAUCCAAAUAUAUAUUUAACUAAAAGUCUGUUUUUUAUUUUGCAAAGUUUUAUUAAUUACAUUUUUGGUUUUACCAACAUGCACCAAACUGUAGGUUCUGGAAAAUGGAAAUAUUUAUAAAAUAUUUCAAGAACUAGUAACUGAAAUCUAAUUUAUCGCCCACAGGAAGGGUUUCCCCUUUUCUGUGGAUCAAAUGGUUGAACGGUGCUGCUCUCCAGUGUUACAGGACAUACCUGCAUGUAUAGAGGCUGAGCUGGACAGGCACCUGAAUGAUGUGUGUAAAGUGAAGGAGCUGGUGAAGCCUCAUUGUUGUGCACCCAAAAUCAAAAACCGUGUCAAAUGUGCCACAAAGCUGCUCCUGCGCUAUAUCGGCAAGGCAGAUAAAGACAGCAGGAGGAAGAUGUGCCCUCAGCUUCAGUUGGUCUGAGUCAGACAGAAUCCCUGAUCUGAUCUCUGAAUGUGGAUCCUUUUUUACAGAGCGCACACAUUUCAAUAUAUGUACACUUGAGUUGAAGCAAACCUGUACCACUUUUUGUUUGUCUUUUAAAAUGCAUUUUAUAUGUCUUACAGAUUAUCAAGAGACAUUUUUCAGCAUUAGAAAAAAAGAACUGCUUGGACAGUUCAAAAUGUUUUGUUUCCACUGUUUCCCCUCUGUUCCCAAAAAUAUAACAAAUUAUAUAUGUAUAUAAUAUAUAAAUAAAAAGUCUUCUGUGAUUGUAUGUUGUUCUCACACAAUAUCAUUUACAUUUA
This 1324-nucleotide long non-coding RNA is filed under the name Sinocyclocheilus grahami. RNAcentral describes it as "lncRNA (ENSSGRG00000002168.1)". Lineage: Eukaryota; Metazoa; Chordata; Actinopteri; Cypriniformes; Cyprinidae. The record is from RNAcentral.